RNAcentral lists this ribosomal RNA (468 nucleotides) under uncultured bacterium. Its description in RNAcentral is "partial 16S ribosomal RNA". It matches the Rfam family "Bacterial small subunit ribosomal RNA", at positions 28 to 507 of the family's 1533-position model. The record is from RNAcentral.
GACGAACGCUGGCGGCGUGCUUAACACAUGCAAGUCGAACGGAAAGGCCCUGCUUUUGUGCGGUGCUCGAGUGGCGAACGGGUGAGUAACACGUGUGUAACCGGCCCUUGACUUUGGGAUAAGUUCAGGAAACUGGGGCUAAUACCGGAUAGGAGCCCCUGCUGCAGUGUAGGGGGUGGAAAGUUUCGGCGGUUGGGGAUGGACGCGCGGCUUAUGAGCUUGUUGGUUGGGGAGUGGCUUACCAAGGCUGUGACGGGUCGGCCGCCUGGGAGGGGGACCGGCGACAUGGGGCCUGAGGUACGGACCAGACGCGUACGGGAGACAGUGGGGGGGAAUCUGGCCCAGUGGGACGACGCGUGAUAAAGCAGCCUUCGGUGCGGAAAGCCGGUUUGUGGGUAGUAAACCGCUUCAGCUUGUGACCACGCUGGAGUGACGGUACUGGAAAAAGAAGCACCGGCUAACUACGUG